UACGAAGGGUGCAAACGUUGCUCGGAAUUACUGGGCGUAAAGCGCGCGUAGGCGGCAUUGCAAGUCGGGUGUGAAAUCCCCAGGCUUAACCUGGGAACUGCAUUCGAGACUGCAUUGCUAGAGUAUGGGAGAGGGAAGUGGAAUUUCCGGUGUAGCGGUGAAAUGCGUAGAUAUCGGAAGGAACAUCAGUGGCGAAAGCGACUUCCUGGACCAAUACUGACGCUCAUGUGCGAAAGCGUGGGGAGCAAACAGG
This 253-nucleotide ribosomal RNA is filed under the name uncultured bacterium. Its description in RNAcentral is "partial 16S ribosomal RNA". It matches the Rfam family "Bacterial small subunit ribosomal RNA", at positions 524 to 776 of the family's 1533-position model. The record is from RNAcentral.